GACGAACGCUGGCGGCGUGCCUAAUACAUGCAAGUCGAACGCUUCUUUCCUCCCGAGUGCUUGCACUCAAUUGGAAAGAGGAGUGGCGGACGGGUGAGUAACACGUGGGUAACCUACCCAUCAGAGGGGGAUAACACUUGGAAACAGGUGCUAAUACCGCAUAACAGUUUAUGCCGCAUGGCAUAAGAGUGAAAGGCGCUUUCGGGUGUCGCUGAUGGCUGGACCCGCGGUGCAUUAGCUAGUUGGUGAGGUAACGGCUCACCAAGGCCACGAUGCAUAGCCGACCUGAGAGGGUGAUCGGCCACACUGGGACUGAGACACGGCCCAGACUCCUACGGGAGGCAGCAGUAGGGAAUCUUCGGCAAUGGACGAAAGUCUGACCGAGCAACGCCGCGUGAGUGAAGAAGGUUUUCGGAUCGUAAAACUCUGUUGUUAGAGAAGAACAAGGACGUUAGUAACUGAACGUCCCCUGACGGUAUCUAACCAGAAAGCCACGGCUAACUACGUG
This 508-nucleotide ribosomal RNA is filed under the name uncultured bacterium. Its description in RNAcentral is "partial 16S ribosomal RNA". It matches the Rfam family "Bacterial small subunit ribosomal RNA", at positions 28 to 507 of the family's 1533-position model. The record is from RNAcentral.